Molecule: long non-coding RNA, 1474 nt
Organism: Anguilla anguilla (European eel)
Lineage: Eukaryota; Metazoa; Chordata; Actinopteri; Anguilliformes; Anguillidae
Exons: 2
Source: RefSeq, a predicted model, not a curated record
AGCGCCGAGACUGAACGUGAAAACGAGAUUAAUGCCGCCUAUAUUACACUGGUGUCAUUUUUGAUGAAGGAGUUAAGCAGGUGUUGUCAUUCAUGGCUCUUGACCAAUCACAGUUGCAUACACCCAAGUACAAGUUUUGAGGGGCGUGUUUGUAGUGAAGUUUGUUACACUUCAUUUCGUUUCACUUAUCUAAUUGAGUUAGCGUUUUUUCGGUGAAUAGUUGAGCGAGAAACCAUAAAUUAAUGAGGCAAGUAAAUUAUACGGAAUUUAUUAUUACAAUUAUUUGCUCAUGUUCUCCUUACCUAAAGAGAGAACCGUGUUAUGAUGGACGAAUGGACAAAACGGCACAUGUAGCAUGCAGCGCACGUUGCCAGCUGCAAGGUAGCUUUCUUCAGGAAACAGAUGGAGUCAUUAUGAUGAAUAAUUUAUGUGCCUUUCCUCUAUAUUAAGGAUAACUGUGUGCUUUACUUAGCCAAGCACCUCAAGCAUCACAGUGCUGCUUGUGAAAUUUGAAACUAGCACCAUAUAAACAUAACAAUUUCGGGCGCUCUCUGACCUGUCUCCACUGUUUGAGCGAGAUUGGAGCUUUAUUUAUGCACGGCUGGAUUCUUGUGUUUUAGUGGGGUCUACUGAGAGAUCUGUAGAGAGUUUAAUUGUUUUUUUCUUUUUGAAAAGUUUAUUGUGGCACUGUCUUACUGUAUUUAUUUAUCCAUCUUUUCCCUUAUCUAAAGCCGCUUGAACUGUUCAGGGUUGCGGGGGUACUGGAGCCUAUUCCAGAAUGCAUUUGGCGAAAGGCAGGAAUUACUGUAUUCAAUUGUAUGCAUUUAUUAUUAUUAUUAUUAUUAUUAUUAUUAUUAUUGCUGUUGUUGUCAUGGAAAAUAAGGUAGGCAGUGGCCCUGUCCCCUGGAGAGUAUUGUGUCAUUUGCCGUUUUUAGUUGAACACUGUGUGUCACAGGUGCUGAUUACCAGUUAAUUUUCCUCUGGAAAUCCUUGAGCACUGUGACUGCUAUUUAAUGUCAGUUCUUCUCCUUCCAAAGAGCAGAUAAGGCAUUUUUAUUUUAUUUUACCGCGUUAUGAGUUUUUUUUCUUCUAACAAAUUUUGUUCAAAGAACAACCUGCUUUUUUCUGCCGUUUUUAGUUCAGGAAGGCUACUUGCAUAAAGACAUCACGCCUGCGCUCCUGCCAUGUAUGUGAUGGUGUCCUGGUGGCAGCUGUACAGGCCUUGCACAUUUCUGCUUCCUCUGCAUGCAAAACUGUGGCAUGACCAGUGUGGCUCGCUCUCGUUUGCAGACAAGGGCAGUUGUCGCAUCCAGGACAUGACAAGCGCAUCUGACGGCGGCGACUGACUCCGGCAGAGCAAACAUGAUUUCAAAAAAAUUACUGAAAACGGUAAAAAGAGAAAAUGACAAACAGAAAGAACAAAUCAGCUGAACAAUGGAUGGUGGACUUAAUAAACGAUGUGUAAGUAAAUUAA